This is a long non-coding RNA of Homo sapiens (human), 451 nucleotides long. Ensembl annotates it as long intergenic non-protein coding RNA 1499. NCBI's taxonomy places the organism in Eukaryota, Metazoa, Chordata, Mammalia, Primates, Hominidae. The record is from Ensembl.
AGGGAGAAGUCCAAGCUUCCUCAUGAAGAGGAUCACAUCAAGAGUGAAGCCAAAGGCACAGGAAGCACAGCUGGAAUGGGGACAUAGGAACGCGGGGGCUCCCAUGAGUUGACCGGACAACUGAGAGAUGGCAACCUAGACCUGGGGCUCAUAUAUUAAAAUCCUGACCCCGAGUACUUCAGAAUGUGACUGAAUAUGGAGACAGGGCUUUUAAAGAGGCAAUUAAGGUAAAAUGAGAUAAUACGGCAGACCCCACUCAAUAUGAUUGAUACUUAUAAGAAGAAAGAUUAUGACACACACAGAGAUUGAGAGGGGACACUGUGAAGAUACAGGGAGAUGGCAGCUGUCUGCAGGCCCAGGAGAAAGGCCUCAGAAGAAACCAAACCUGCUGACACCUUGAUUUUGAACUCUAGUCUCCAGAACUGUAAAAAAAUAAAUUUCUGUCAUCUAA